Rattus norvegicus (Norway rat) is the source of this 2928-nucleotide non-coding RNA. The record is from RefSeq and is a predicted model, not a curated record. Lineage: Eukaryota; Metazoa; Chordata; Mammalia; Rodentia; Muridae.
GACACUGACUUAGCAACAUUGGCCCACUGGUUGGUGGUAUACCAUUUUCCCCGUGGCUGGAUUCUGGUUUUCCCUUCCUUUUUAUUUAAUAAGACUCAUGACUUAAAUAAAAGGUUAAAAAGUAGCAACUGGGUGGCCCUGAAACAGAGACUCCUGGCCCAGAGCUCCUGACCGGUGUCUUUUUGACAGCUUUCAAGCUGAGCCUCAAAUGUUGCAUCUCAUCAAACAUGGUUCCUUCCAGACCCAAUUUCUAAAUUCACACACCAGAUGAAGUGUUCUCCGCCUGGAGAUGAUCAGGAUGCGGACUCGGCCAAACGGGAGCAGCUUGCCUUCUAGGCCACAGACUUGCGGCCCACCUUGGAGGCUGAAACGAAGCUACUGUACUCGCAUCCCAGCCUCACCCAGAAGCAUGGGCUUUCCAGCCAUGGCUCCUGCAACCUGCUUUCUCCGACUGCCUCGCCGCACCCCUCUCUAAGAGCUGUGCUCUUCUGUGUGGCGAGGCUGGUGGAAAGUUGACCAUCCAAGCCAAGAGCCAACACAGCCAGUGCUGGAUAAAUGACUUGAAGUGCUUUCUCAAGGGACCCUUUCCAGGUACAGGAGCGCCUCGUAACCAGAUUCGGCCAGAGCUGGCAGACCGCCUUGUUCGGGAGCACAGUAAAAAUCAAACUACAGACACCGUUUAGAAAGCAUAGAAAGCCCAAUGCUAACAUCUUAUGUAUUGAAACACUGUUACAUAAAACUGACCACAAAGCCCCAAAUUCAUACUUUCCUACUUUGUGAGGCUGGUUACCACCAGGAAUAAACCCGUGGAAGUGUGAGGCUGACUGUGUAGCCUCAAGAGGCCUAAGCAUAAGGCCGAACCUCGUUCCAAACCUUGGGGGCGAGAUCAAUGCCCUGGCCCUUGAGAGCAGCCAGGCCUGCGGCAAGGUGAGGGAGCCGGAGCUGUGGUCUCACCACACGAGUCUGGGGGCAAACACCAGCCUGAGCCAGGGCAGACCCAAUAGUUGCUUCCGGGACCCCUUUCAUGUACCUCAUAAAGCCCCAGACACAUUGGCACAGUUCGCAGGAUUUAAUGAAGCGUAGGCCCUGCCUGGAGCCAAGGGGGCAUUAGGGACUCAGAAUGAGGCUCUUUCAUACCCAGAGAGAUGGUGAUGCCGGAGGCCAGACUUCUGCAAUAGCUUUCUGCUGAGAAACUCAUCAUGGAACUCUUCUGGUUUUCCUCAGCAUGUCGGUGACAUCCACAGCAGGUCCUCCCCAUCUCUGUUUUGAAGCCGAACCCAGAAUAGUUCAGACAACCCCGGGACUAGAACUGGAACGCGAACCUCCUGAGUCUGCGUGGGAGGGCAGACAGUGGGCGUUUACACCAGGCUGAGCUCCCUGCUUUGCCUCAUCCAGUCUGUACAAGUUCGCCUCGGAGAAACUCCCCAUGAUACUUCUCACCCAAGGCACCCUAGAUGCAGACAGCUUAAGGUGGCGUGAACCUCUACAUCCAGAAAUCAGCAAAGCAAGAGAAGAGGCACUACAAGAACUGUGACUCUGCUCCUGCCGAGACCUCAACGACUCCAGACAGCAAAUACAGAAAUGGUCUCUUCUCCGAAGAUGGCCUGGAGUCAGGAGAAAGAGGUGCUUGGAAGUCAGGCCCUCCCAUAUUUCAGCACCGGUGCUGCUAUGUCCCACUGUGAAAACUCGAGUUCCAAGCCCUCCACACUUCCUGCUAGCAAGUGGAGCUGAGGAUACACAAGAAAUAGACGAAUUCGUCUGGAAGGAGUGCGGUCAAGAUCUUGGCAUCUAGAGUGGAGACCAUAAGAACCACCCGAAUGUGGGAAUGGCUUUGGCACAGAGUAUGGGUGGAAACUGGAGGAGCGGAGAGGAUUCUGAGGGAAGCUUUAGUGAAAUGUGGAAGUUCAGUGAGCACAUGGUUUAUAUGACAGAAACAGAGAGCUUCAUAGCCACUGGAAAUCAGCUGGGAAGAAAGGUCGCCGGUGAGCUGAGUGGCCCAGCGGAGAAUAUGGCAGCCAGGGUUAAGUGUUAACCAGCUUCUUCCUAGGGACAAUAACCAAUACAGUGUAUUUCAGUUCUCUUGUAGUUAUAACCAAAUACUUGACACACAUCCUAAAGGGAACGCACAUAUUUUAUGUCUUCACGAACUUCCACCCAUCCAUAGCUCCAUUGACUCUAAGCCCUUAGUGAAGCAGAGCAGCGCUGUGGUAGACAAGGUGGCUGUUCACUUCACGGUGGACAGGAAGCAGAGAGAAAGACAAACUUGGAACCAGGUAUAGCCUUCAAAGUCGGGCCCUAGUGACCACAUCUCCCAAAACCAUGUCAUCUGCUGAGGACAAAGUAUUUUAGAGGCGAGCCCGUGAGGGACAAUUCGAUCUCGAACCACACCAGACUGGUAUGUGAUAGACUUGAGUGAUGGCUGUUCUUGGUUGUCAGCUCUAGUACAUCUGGAAUUAACCAAAACCCAAAUGGCUAGGCACUCCUGGGAGGGAUUUUUUUUUCUUAAUUAAAUCAAGUGGGAAGACAAAAUCCUAAUUCAAAUCUUUGAGGCGGGAAGACCCAUCUUUAACCUGGGCCACAUCUUCUGCUGUCAGCCUACAUAAACAUGAAGAAGUAAACACUCACUCUCUGCUUGUUCUCCCCUUGCUGGCCAGUCUAUUCCUUCACUGCCAUUAGAGCCUACUUCUUCACAAGUCCAGUAUCUGCUGAAGACCGGCUGAAACUCCAGCUUCCUGGACUGGACAAUUACCAGAUUCUUGUACCUUCCAUUGGUGGACAGCCAUUGUUGGACUAGCUGGACCACAGCCUGUAAACCAUUCUAAUAAAUCCCCUUAAUAUAUAUUUUAUAUGUUGGUUUAUAUACAUAAGCAUAUAUAUUAACAUUCAUAUAUCAUGUCAUAUAUAUAUAAUAAAUAUAUAUUCAUUCUA